Molecule: ribosomal RNA, 732 nt
Filed under: uncultured bacterium
Lineage: Bacteria
Description: bacterial SSU rRNA
Rfam family: Bacterial small subunit ribosomal RNA
Source: RNAcentral
AACAGGAUUAGAUACCCUGGUAGUCCACGCCGUAAACGAUGAGUGCUAGGUGUUAGGGGGUUUCCGCCCCUUAGUGCUGAAGUUAACGCAUUAAGCACUCCGCCUGGGGAGUACGGCCGCAAGGCUGAAACUCAAAAGAAUUGACGGGGGCCCGCACAAGCGGUGGAGCAUGUGGUUUAAUUCGAAGCAACGCGAAGAACCUUACCAGGUCUUGACAUCCUCUGCCAUUCCUAGAGAUAGGAAGUUCCCUUCGGGGACAGAGUGACAGGUGGUGCAUGGUUGUCGUCAGCUCGUGUCGUGAGAUGUUGGGUUAAGUCCCGCAACGAGCGCAACCCUUGAUCUUAGUUGCCAGCAUUUAGUUGGGCACUCUAAGGUGACUGCCGGUGACAAACCGGAGGAAGGUGGGGAUGACGUCAAAUCAUCAUGCCCCUUAUGACCUGGGCUACACACGUGCUACAAUGGAUGGAACAAAGGGAAGCAAAACCGCGAGGUCAAGCAAAUCCCAUAAAACCAUUCUCAGUUCGGAUUGCAGGCUGCAACUCGCCUGCAUGAAGCCGGAAUCGCUAGUAAUCGCGGAUCAGCAUGCCGCGGUGAAUACGUUUCCCGGGCCUUUGUACACACCGCCCGUCACACCACGAGAGUUGGUAACACCCGAAGUCGGUGAGGUAACCUUUUGGAGCCAGCCGCCGAAGGUGGGACCAAUGAUUGGGGUGAAGUCGUAACAAGGUAACC